This 492-nucleotide ribosomal RNA is filed under the name uncultured bacterium. Its description in RNAcentral is "partial 16S ribosomal RNA". It matches the Rfam family "Bacterial small subunit ribosomal RNA", at positions 29 to 507 of the family's 1533-position model. The record is from RNAcentral.
AGUGAACGCUGGCGGUAGGCCUAACACAUGCAAGUCGAACGGCAGCACAGUAAGAGUUUGCUCUUACGGGUGGCGAGUGGCGGACGGGUGAGGAAUACAUCGGAAUCUACUUUUUCGUGGGGGAUAACGUAGGGAAACUUACGCUAAUACCGCAUACGACCUACGGGAGAAAGCAGGGGAUCUUCGGACCUUGCGCGAUUGAAUUAGCCGAUGUCGGAUUAGCUAGUUGGCGGGGUAAAGGCCCACCAAGGCGACGAUCCGUAGCUGGUCUGAGAGGAUGAUCAGCCACACUGGAACUGAGCCACGGUCCAGACUCCUACGGGAGGCAGCAGUGGGGAAUAUUGGCCAAUGGGCGCAAGCCUGAUCCAGCCAUACCGCGUGGGUGAAGAAGGCCUUCGGGUUGUAAAGCCCUUUUGUUGGGAAAGAAAAGCAGCGGGUUAAUAUCCCGCUGUUCUGACGGUACCCAAAGACUAAGCACCGGCUAACUUCGUG